GGGAUAUGGCUCAGUUGGUUAGAGCGCUUCGUUCACAUCGAAGAAGUCAGGGGUUCGAGUCCCUUUAUCCCC
This 72-nucleotide transfer RNA is filed under the name human gut metagenome. It matches the Rfam family "tRNA". From Rfam's summary of the family: Transfer RNA (tRNA) molecules are approximately 80 nucleotides in length. Their secondary structure includes four short double-helical elements and three loops (D, anti-codon, and T loops). The record is from RNAcentral.